RNAcentral lists this ribosomal RNA (207 nucleotides) under uncultured bacterium. Its description in RNAcentral is "partial 16S ribosomal RNA". It matches the Rfam family "Bacterial small subunit ribosomal RNA", at positions 568 to 774 of the family's 1533-position model. The record is from RNAcentral.
CGCGUAGGCGGCCUGGUCAGUCGGGUGUGAAAGCCCCGGGCUUAACCUGGGAACUGCAUCCGAUACUGCGGGGCUGGAGUACGAGAGAGGCGAGUGGAAUUCCCGGUGUAGCGGUGAAAUGCGUAGAGAUCGGGAGGAACAUCAGUGGCGAAGGCGGCUCGCUGGCUUGAUACUGACGCUGAGGUGCGAAAGCGUGGGGAGCAAACA